RNAcentral lists this transfer RNA (72 nucleotides) under Dryobates pubescens (Downy woodpecker). RNAcentral describes it as "Picoides pubescens (downy woodpecker) tRNA". It matches the Rfam family "tRNA". From Rfam's summary of the family: Transfer RNA (tRNA) molecules are approximately 80 nucleotides in length. The record is from Rfam by way of RNAcentral. Lineage: Eukaryota; Metazoa; Chordata; Aves; Piciformes; Picidae.
UUCCACAUGGUCUAGCAGUCAGGAUUCCUGGUUUUCACCCAGGCAGCCUGGGUUUGACUCCCAAUGUGGGAA